GGGCUGUAGCACUGCAUAGCAGCCCUUUCACAGACUGGCAGUCAUGAGGUCGAGGGUUCGAACCCCUCCAGGUCCACCA
RNAcentral lists this transfer RNA (79 nucleotides) under Acidobacteriota bacterium. Its description in RNAcentral is "Acidobacteria bacterium tRNA-Val". Lineage: Bacteria; Pseudomonadati; Acidobacteriota. The record is from RNAcentral.